This is an RNA transcript of Leptonychotes weddellii (Weddell seal), 307 nucleotides long. RefSeq lists it as uncharacterized. Lineage: Eukaryota; Metazoa; Chordata; Mammalia; Carnivora; Phocidae. The record is from RefSeq and is a predicted model, not a curated record.
UCUUAAGCACGGAAUUUUCUGGGUGACAUUUCUGUAAGAAUUGCAUGCAAAUGUCCCAGUGGAAGGUCGUGAUUGGUCUGGAAAGGUUAUCUCCAUUCGUCUAGAUGAUCGUCUUCACAAAAGAAGAAAGUUCAGGUGAUGCUCUUUGAAAUACACGCCGGGAAACGCUGUGUGUCAGGAAGCCGAGCCACAUUUCCUUCUGCUGGGCCUUGUGAAGGCUGGCCUCUGGGCUGUUAAGUGCCUGGCUCCUCGGCAGGAUUCUCUGUCAUGGGAAAGAGAGCACAAGCAGAGGGAGCGGCCGAGGGAG